This 497-nucleotide ribosomal RNA is filed under the name uncultured bacterium. RNAcentral describes it as "partial 16S ribosomal RNA". It matches the Rfam family "Bacterial small subunit ribosomal RNA", at positions 28 to 507 of the family's 1533-position model. The record is from RNAcentral.
GACGAACGCUGGCGGCGUGCCUAAUACAUGCAAGUAGAACGCUGAAGAGAGGAGCUUGCUCUUCUUGGAUGAGUUGCGAACGGGUGAGUAACGCGUAGGUAACCUGCCUGGUAGCGGGGGAUAACUAUUGGAAACGAUAGCUAAUACCGCAUGAAAUUGCUUAUCGCAUGAUAAUUGAUUGAAAGAUGCAAUUGCAUCACUACCAGAUGGACCUGCGUUGUAUUAGCUAGUUGGUGAGGUAACGGCUCACCAAGGCGACGAUACAUAGCCGACCUGAGAGGGUGAUCGGCCACACUGGGACUGAGACACGGCCCAGACUCCUACGGGAGGCAGCAGUAGGGAAUCUUCGGCAAUGGGGGAAACCCUGACCGAGCAACGCCGCGUGAGUGAAGAAGGGUUUCGGAUCGUAAAGCUCUGUUGUAAGAGAAGAACGGGUGUGAGAGUGGAAAGUUCACACUGUGACGGUAUCUUACCAGAAAGGGACGGCUAACUACGUG